This 66-nucleotide transfer RNA is filed under the name Curculio elephas. Its description in RNAcentral is "tRNA-Phe". Lineage: Eukaryota; Metazoa; Arthropoda; Insecta; Coleoptera; Curculionidae. The record is from RNAcentral.
AUCUAGGUAGCUUAAGUAAAGAGUGUGGCACUGAAGAUGCUAAGGAAAUAUAAUUAUUUCUAGAUA